This 500-nucleotide ribosomal RNA is filed under the name uncultured bacterium. Its description in RNAcentral is "bacterial SSU rRNA". It matches the Rfam family "Bacterial small subunit ribosomal RNA", at positions 366 to 858 of the family's 1533-position model. The record is from RNAcentral.
UCGCAAUGGGCGCAAGCCUGACGACGCAACGCCGCGUGGAGGAUGAAGGUCUUCGGAUUGUAAACUCCUGUUGCCCGGGACGAAAUGCUCCAACCUAAUACGUUGGAGUUUGACGGUACCGGGUGAGGAAGCCCCGGCUAACUCUGUGCCAGCAGCCGCGGUAAUACAGAGGGGGCAAGCGUUGUUCGGAAUUACUGGGCGUAAAGGGCGCGUAGGCGGCCUUCUAAGUCGGACGUGAAAUCCCCGGGCUCAACCCGGGAACUGCGUCCGAGACUGAAAGGCUUGAAUCCGGGAGAGGGAUGUGGAAUUCCAGGUGUAGCGGUGAAAUGCGUAGAUAUCUGGAGGAACACCGGUGGCGAAGGCGGCAUCCUGGACCGGUAUUGACGCUGAGGCGCGAAAGCCAGGGGAGCAAACGGGAUUAGAUACCCCGGUAGUCCUGGCCCUAAACGAUGAAUGCUUGGUGUGGCGGGUAUCGAUCCCUGCCGUGCCGAAGCUAACGC